GACGAACGCUGGCGGCGUGCUUAACACAUGCAAGUCGAGCGGUAAGGCCCUUCGGGUACACGAGCGGCGAACGGGUGAGUAACACGUGGGUGACCUGCCUCUAGCUCUGGGAUAAGCCUGGGAAACUGGGUCUAAUACCGGAUAUGACUCCACGGCGCAUGUUGUGGGGUGGAAAGCCUUGUGUGGCUAGAGAUGGGCCCGCGGCCUAUCAGCUUGUUGGUGGGGNGAUGGCCUACCAAGGCGACGACGGGUAGCCGGCCUGAGAGGGCGACCGGCCACACUGGGACUGAGACACGGCCCAGACUCCUACGGGAGGCAGCAGUGGGGAAUCUUGCGCAAUGGGCGAAAGCCUGACGC
This 357-nucleotide ribosomal RNA is filed under the name uncultured bacterium. RNAcentral's name for it is "bacterial SSU rRNA". It matches the Rfam family "Bacterial small subunit ribosomal RNA", at positions 28 to 389 of the family's 1533-position model. The record is from RNAcentral.